This 1362-nucleotide ribosomal RNA is filed under the name uncultured Bacteroidota bacterium. RNAcentral describes it as "bacterial SSU rRNA". It matches the Rfam family "Bacterial small subunit ribosomal RNA", at positions 27 to 1393 of the family's 1533-position model. Lineage: Bacteria; Pseudomonadati; Bacteroidota. The record is from RNAcentral.
GGAUGAACGCUAGCGGCAGGCCUAAUACAUGCAAGUCGAGGGGUAAGAGUCAGCUUGCUGACUACACGACCGGCGCACGGGUGCGUAACGCGUAUGCAACCUACCUUUAACAGAGGAAUAGCCCCGAGAAAUCGGGAUUAAUACCACAUAACAUUAUGAUAUGGCAUCAUAUUAUAAUUAAAACUCCGGUGGUUAAAGAUGGGCAUGCGUGACAUUAGCUAGUUGGUGAGGUAACUGCUCACCAAGGCUACGAUGUCUAGGGGUUCUGAGAGGAUGAUCCCCCACACUGGUACUGAGACACGGACCAGACUCCUACGGGAGGCAGCAGUAAGGAAUAUUGCGCAAUGGAGGCAACUCUGACGCAGCCAUGCCGCGUGCAGGAUUGAAGGCCUUAUGGGUCGUAAACUGCUUUUAUUUAGGAAUAAACUUUCGUACGUGUACGAAACUGAAGGUACUAAACGAAUAAGCACCGGCUAACUCCGUGCCAGCAGCCGCGGUAAUACGGAGGGUGCAAGCGUUAUCCGGAUUUAUUGGGUUUAAAGGGUGCGCAGGCGGACCAAUUAGUCAGUGGUGAAAUCCCGAGGCUCAACCUCGGAACUGCCAUUGAUACUGUUGGUCUUGAAUACGUUGAAGUAGCGGAAUGUAGCAUGUAGCGGUGAAAUGCAUAGAGAUGCUACAGAACACCGAUCGCGAAGGCAGCUUACUAAACCGAUAUUGACGCUCAGGCACGAAAGCGUGGGGAGCGAACAGGAUUAGAUACCCUGGUAGUCCACGCCGUAAACUAUGAUCACUCGUUGUUGGCAAUACACAGUCAGUGACCAAGCGAAAGCGAUAAGUGAUCCACCUGGGGAGUACGAUCGCAAGGUUGAAACUCAAAGGAAUUGACGGGGGCCCGCACAAGCGGUGGAGCAUGUGGUUUAAUUCGAUGAUACGCGAGGAACCUUACCUGGGCUCAAAUGUAAGUUGACAGUUUCUGAAAGGGAAUUUUCUUCGGACAAUUUACAAGGUGCUGCAUGGUUGUCGUCAGCUCGUGCCGUGAGGUGUCGGGUUAAGUCCCAUAACGAGCGCAACCCCUACUCUUAGUUGCCAUCAGAUAAUGCUGGGGACUCUAGGAGAACUGCCUACGCAAGUAGAGAGGAAGGUGGGGAUGACGUCAAAUCAGCACGGCCCUUACGUCCAGGGCUACACACGUGCUACAAUGGCCGGUACAGAGGGCAGCCACCUGGUGACAGGGAGCGAAUCUCUAAAGCCGGUCUCAGUUCGGAUCGAAGUCUGCAACCCGACUUCGUGAAGCUGGAAUCGCUAGUAAUCGCGCAUCAGCCAUGGCGCGGUGAAUACGUUCCCGGGCCUUGUACACACCGC